Molecule: long non-coding RNA, 561 nt
Filed under: Triticum aestivum (bread wheat)
Lineage: Eukaryota; Viridiplantae; Streptophyta; Magnoliopsida; Poales; Poaceae
Description: long non-coding RNA (TAES_LNC017462)
Source: RNAcentral
CUCAAUCAGCAUGGAGGUGGGCAUUGUCAUGCGUCGGCGAGGAGCCUUGGGAGAUCAGCUCGGCGCCCUCGGGCCAUGGCUGCACCGUCGGAGAUGUGGUGUUCGCAUGGAGAAGACCAAGAUGCCACCUCUGGUUUCCAGCGCGAGCGUCACCAGUAGACAUGGAAUUACCUUUAACCCAGGACUUCCUUUGUCAGAUGUAAUAGUGCAAAACAAUUAACCUUUCAGUGUAAGAGGACAUAACCCAUAUUUAACCAUUUGAUUUUCUCCUAUAAGUGAACAAAAGGAUGUAUGUCAGUGUACUUGAAAAUAGAUCAAUUUGGUAACAAGACACCACGAAUUUGUAGUACUGCCCAACACUGAUAACACCCUAAUAUUUAAAAUAAUUUUGGAUGGCAGGUGGACGAGACAAACUUUGUUGGCCUAUGAGUGAAAACAAAUAGUGUUUGCCUUAUUAAUGUUUUAAGUAAAAGAAUAAUUAACCGAGGCAUGAAUCUUGAGAAGAUUACCGAGGCUAAAUUGAGCGGCACACCAUCGAGAUGCACGAUGGGACGACAAGCU